CAAUUAAUUUACUUUUCAUAUUAUUUUGUGCUGGUUUCAGGUGUACAGCAUAGUAGUUAGACAAUCCUACGCCUUACAAAGUGUUCCCCCCAAUAUUUCUAGCACCCAUGUGGCACCAUACACUGCAAAUCUGUUUUAAUUUUUUAAAAAUGACAACAACCUCAGCACUCAUCAAUACAGGUAUGGUUAAACUAGAGCAAAUCACACUCUUCACUACUUUUAAAGAAUAAGGUAUAUAAUAAAUAUGCUGAUAUUAAAAGUUCAAAUGCUACCAUAAAAACAAUCAAGCUUCAUAAUAUACGGACCUUGAAUCUAUUUUUAAAAAUAGAUUUAUGGCUAUGUUCAGAAAGAAGGCUGGAAGGAUACACACCUGCUGAUUUUAUCUCCAGGGAGGAAAGGUUGGAAUGGGAGGGAUUAAUGGAGGAUACUUUAUAUUUAUUCUACAUACCUGUAUAUUGUUUGAAUAUUUUAUGAUAUUACAUGAUCACCUAAAUUUAUAAGCCUAUAACUAGAUGUACAUAUUGAAAACCUUGUCAUUAAGGUUAAGAGUCAUCAAGAAGCCCAGCAACCACACCACCAAACAAUCAUAUGUUGGUGUAUUUCUUUUCAUUUUAUGAUCAUAUACUUCAUAGACAAUAUUUUGUAUUUAACAUUUCAUAUUCUUCCAAAAAUAAUCAUUAUGUCAUGAGGAUGUUCCCUUGCCUCUUAGAAAUAAAUCUUCCUCAUCUGUUGACUAUACAAUGUAUUCACCUUAGUUAUUGAGAAAAGUAUUUCCUUCGUCUUUUAAGUGGUUUACGGUGAGAUUUAUCCUUGAAUGUCAUCUUGUCAUUGAUUAUCUUUAUAGCAUAUAUGGUCUAACUCUGGUCACUAGAGUUGACAUGUCUACUUUUUCU
Long non-coding RNA from Phyllostomus discolor (pale spear-nosed bat), 893 nucleotides. RefSeq lists it as uncharacterized. The record is from RefSeq and is a predicted model, not a curated record. The transcript is spliced from 2 exons. NCBI's taxonomy places the organism in Eukaryota, Metazoa, Chordata, Mammalia, Chiroptera, Phyllostomidae.